GAGCAGAGGUGCAAGAGAACCGUGAAACCGUUAUAGUGGAAGCGGAUGGAGCCGACGUAUCCCAUUGUCUAUUUAUCGACUGUGGGUCGCAAUUGUUUCGUUUUGAAGUCUGCAAAGUCCGAGAGGAGUAACUAUUGUCUUCUGUGAGUGGUGCACUUGCGCACAGAGUGCGCCGAAUCGGCUAGACUUCGCGUUAGAAGUCUCGCCAAGAGGCUCGGCUCGCCAGAGCCCGAAACCCUGGCAUGGGCGGGGCGGGGCUUGAGCCGGGUCGCGUUCCAUAAGGCGGGUCGAUCUGGGGUGGCCGUAGAGGUUCCUAUGUUUGUGGGGUGGCGCGCGUGUUUCUUGUCUCAAGACGUGUUUCUUUUCGCGGUCGUUUCUCGGCCGGUAUUCGGUGUUUAAUCGGUCACCCCUUUGGCCCCUUCUGAAACACGGACCAAGGAAUUUAAGGUCUACGCAAGUCAUUGAGUGGAAAACUCAAAGGCGAAAUGAAAGUGGGACACUUGGUGUCUGUGAUGCGAUCCGUGUAUGAUUCGUUGUGUGCGGAGCAGCAUCGACCCAUGACCAGAACUUGUUCUGUUGUGGCGUCUGAGCGUGGGCUUUGAGACCCGAAAGAUGGUGAACUAUGCCUGAACAGGACGAAGUCAGAGGAAACUCUGAUGGAAGUCCGAAGCGGUUCUGACGUGCAAAUCGAUCGUCUGAUUUGGGUAUAGGGGCGCAAGACUAAUCAAACCAUC
This 734-nucleotide ribosomal RNA is filed under the name Schistonchus sp. ex Ficus paraensis WY-2014. Its description in RNAcentral is "eukaryotic LSU rRNA". It matches the Rfam family "Eukaryotic large subunit ribosomal RNA", at positions 378 to 944 of the family's 3401-position model. The record is from RNAcentral. Lineage: Eukaryota; Metazoa; Nematoda; Chromadorea; Rhabditida; Aphelenchoididae.